UACGUAGGUGGCAAGCGUUGUCCGGAAUUAUUGGGCGUAAAGCGCGCGCAGGCGGCUAUGUAAGUCUGAUGUUAAAGCCCGAGGCUCAACCUCGGUUCGCAUUGGAAACUGUGUAGCUUGAGUGCAGAAGAGGAAAGCGGUAUUCCACGUGUAGCGGUGAAAUGCGUAGAGAUGUGGAGGAACACCAGUGGCGAAGGCGGCUUUCUGGUCUGUAACUGACGCUGAGGCGCGAAAGCGUGGGGAGCAAACAGG
RNAcentral lists this ribosomal RNA (252 nucleotides) under uncultured bacterium. RNAcentral's name for it is "partial 16S ribosomal RNA". It matches the Rfam family "Bacterial small subunit ribosomal RNA", at positions 524 to 776 of the family's 1533-position model. The record is from RNAcentral.